RNAcentral lists this ribosomal RNA (397 nucleotides) under uncultured bacterium. RNAcentral describes it as "partial 16S ribosomal RNA". It matches the Rfam family "Bacterial small subunit ribosomal RNA", at positions 523 to 918 of the family's 1533-position model. The record is from RNAcentral.
AUACGUAGGUGACAAGCGUUAUCCGGAAUGACUGGGCGUAAAGGGCGUGUAGGCGGUUGUUUAAGUCUGGCGUGAAAGUCCUCGUUUCAAGGUGGGAAUUGCUUUGGAAACUGGAUGAAUUGGGUGCGGAAGGGGGAAGGGGAAUUCCCAGUGGAGGGGUGAAAGGCGUAGAGAUUGGGAGGAACACCAGUGGCGAAGGCGACUUACUGGGCCGUAACUGACGCUGAGGCGCGAAAGCGUGGGGAGCGAACAGGAUUAGAUACCCUGGUAGUCCACGCGGUAAACGAUGAAUGCUAGGUGUUGCGGGUAUCGACCCCUACAGUGCCGGAGUAAACACAAUAAGCAUUCCGCCUGGGGAGUACGGCCGCAAGGUUGAAACUCAAAUGAAUGGACGGGG